GAUGAACGCUGGCGGCGUGCCUAAUACAUGCAAGUCGAGCGAACAGACGAGGAGCUUGCUCCUCUGACGUUAGCGGCGGACGGGUGAGUAACACGUGGAUAACCUACCUAUAAGACUGGGAUAACUUCGGGAAACCGGAGCUAAUACCGGAUAAUAUAUUGAACCGCAUGGUUCAAUAGUGAAAGACGGUUUUGCUGUCACUUAUAGAUGGAUCCGCGCCGCAUUAGCUAGUUGGUAAGGUAACGGCUUACCAAGGCAACGAUGCGUAGCCGACCUGAGAGGAUGAUCGGCCACACUGGAACUGAGACACGGUCCAGACUCCUACGGGAGGCAGCAGUAGGGAAUCUUCGGCAAUGGGCGAAAGCCUGACGGAGCAACGCCGCGUGAGUGAUGAAGGUCUUCGGAUCGUAAAACUCUGUUAUUAGGGAAGAACAAAUGUGUAAGUAACUAUGCACGUCUUGACGGUACCUAAUCAGAAAGCCACGGCUAACUACGUG
Molecule: ribosomal RNA, 497 nt
Filed under: uncultured bacterium
Lineage: Bacteria
Description: partial 16S ribosomal RNA
Rfam family: Bacterial small subunit ribosomal RNA
Source: RNAcentral